GACGAACGCUGGCGGCGUGCCUAAUACAUGCAAGUAGAACGCUGACUACUUUAGCUUGCUAGAGUAGAAGGAGUUGCGAACGGGUGAGUAACGCGUAGGUAACCUGCCUACUAGCGGGGAUAACUAUUGGAAACGAUAGCUAAUACCGCAUAACAGUGUUUAACACAUGUUAGAUGCUUGAAAGAUGCAAAUGCAUCACUAGUAGAUGGACCUGCGUUGUAUUAGCUAGUUGGUGGGGUAACGGCCUACCAAGGCGACGAUACAUAGCCGACCUGAGAGGGUGAUCGGCCACACUGGGACUGAGACACGGCCCAGACUCCUACGGGAGGCAGCAGUAGGGAAUCUUCGGCAAUGGGGGCAACCCUGACCGAGCAACGCCGCGUGAGUGAAGAAGGUUUUCGGAUCGUAAAGCUCUGUUGUAAGAGAAGAACGUGUGUGAGAGUGGAAAGUUCACACAGUGACGGUAACUUACCAGAAAGGGACGGCUAACUACGUGCCAGCAGCCGCGGUAAUACGUAGGUCCCGAGCGUUGUCCGGAUUUAUUGGGCGUAAAGCGAGCGCAGGCGGUUUAAUAAGUCUGAAGUUAAAGGCAGUGGCUUAACCAUUGUUCGCUUUGGAAACUGUUAAACUUGAGUGCAGAAGGGGAGAGUGGAAUUCCAUGUGUAGCGGUGAAAUGCGUAGAUAUAUGGAGGAACACCGGUGGCGAAAGCGGCUCUCUGGUCUGUAACUGACGCUGAGGCUCGAAAGCGUGGGGAGCAAACAGG
This 764-nucleotide ribosomal RNA is filed under the name uncultured Streptococcus sp. RNAcentral's name for it is "bacterial SSU rRNA". It matches the Rfam family "Bacterial small subunit ribosomal RNA", at positions 28 to 776 of the family's 1533-position model. The record is from RNAcentral. Lineage: Bacteria; Bacillati; Bacillota; Bacilli; Lactobacillales; Streptococcaceae.